This 891-nucleotide ribosomal RNA is filed under the name uncultured Campylobacter sp. Its description in RNAcentral is "bacterial SSU rRNA". The stretch from base 1 to 492 matches the Rfam family "Bacterial small subunit ribosomal RNA", at positions 28 to 545 of the family's 1533-position model. The record is from RNAcentral. Lineage: Bacteria; Pseudomonadati; Campylobacterota; Epsilonproteobacteria; Campylobacterales; Campylobacteraceae.
GAUGAACGCUGACAGAAUGCUUAACACAUGCAAGUCGACUCGAGUCUUCGGACUUGGGUGGCGCACGGGUGAGUAACGCGUAAAGAACUUGCCUCUUAGACCGGGACAACAUCUGGAAACGGAUGCUAAUACCGGAUAUUAUGGUUUUUUCGCAUGGAGGAAUCAUGAAAGCUAGAUGCGCUAAGAGAGAGCUUUGCGUCCCAUUAGCUGGUUGGUGAGGUAACGGCCCACCAAGGCAAUGAUGGGUAGCCGGCCUGAGAGGGUGAACGGCCACAAGGGGACUGAGACACGGCCCUUACUCCUACGGGAGGCAGCAGUGGGGAAUAUUGGACAAUGGACCGCAAGUCUGAUCCAGCAAUUCUGUGUGCACGAUGACGUUUUUCGGAAUGUAAAGUGCUUUCAUCCGGGAAGAAGUCAGUGACGGUACCGACAGAAGAAGCGACGGCUAAUACGUGCCAGCAGCCGCGGUAUACGUAUGUCGCAAUCGUUAUCUGGGAUUUAUUGGGGCGUAAAGCGCGUCUAGGCGGGAAGGAUAGUCUGAUGUGAAAUGCGGAGCUGUGCUCCGUAUGGGGUUGGGACUGGUUACUAGAGUAGGUGAUGUUGGCGGAAUGUAUAGUGAUGUGUGUAGAUCUUUAUAUGUGUAGGAUGGCCGAUGUGUGAACCCUGCUAUGGUAUGUGUGCGGUUUUGAGGUGCGAUGGAUGUGAUCUAACGUGAUAUAUGCCUGGUGGUCAGUGGUGAGUUACUGUGGAUGUUUAUGCUAUGAUGACGUGCUCUUCCGGGGUGAAAAGAAACACUGAAUUGUGUGACUUGUGGAGUGCUGCCUGCGUGUGUGUUCUUUUUUUUUUGUUUUGUGUGUGUUUUAGUUGUAGUGCUGUCUGGAUACUGAUGUG